This 576-nucleotide ribosomal RNA is filed under the name uncultured eukaryote. RNAcentral's name for it is "bacterial SSU rRNA". It matches the Rfam family "Eukaryotic small subunit ribosomal RNA", at positions 174 to 766 of the family's 1831-position model. The record is from RNAcentral.
UAAAAACCCCGACUUCGGAAGGGGUGUAUUUAUUAGAUACAAAACCAAUGCCCUUCGGGGCUCUUUGGUGAUUCAUGAUAACUAUACGAAUCGCACGGCCUUGCGCCGGCGAUGGUUCAUUCAAAUUUCUUCCCUAUCAACUUUCGAUGUUUGGGUAUUGGCCAAACAUGGUUGCAACGGGUAACGGAGGGUUAGGGCUCGACCCCGGAGAAGGAGCCUGAGAAACGGCUACUACAUCCAAGGAAGGCAGCAGGCGCGCAAAUUACCCAAUCCCGACUCGGGGAGGUAGUGACAAUAAAUACUGAUACAGGGCCCUUUCGGGCCUUGUAAUUGGAAUGAGUACAAUUUAAAUCCCUUAACGAGGAACAAUUGGAGGGCAAGUCUGGUGCCAGCAGCCGCGGUAAUUCCAGCUCCAAUAGCGUAUAUUAAAAGUUGUUGUGGUAAAAAAAGCUCGUAGUUGAACCUUGGGCCUGGCUGGCCAGUCCGCCUCACCACGAGCACAGGGCACAGACGGGCCAUACACUCAGAAAAAAAAAUAUACCAACAUCAGGUCGUAGAGAGAUACAGGGAAUUAAU